GAUGAACGCUGGCGGCGUGCCUAAUACAUGCAAGUCGAGCGAACGGACGAGAAGCUUGCUUCUCUGAUGUUAGCGGCGGACGGGUGAGUAACACGUGGAUAACCUACCUAUAAGACUGGGAUAACUUCGGGAAACCGUAGCUAAUACCGGAUAAAAUUUUGAACCGCAUGGUUCAAAAGUGAAAGACGGUCUUGCUGUCACUUAUAGAUGGAUCCGCGCUGCAUUAGCUAGUUGGUAAGGUAACGGCUUACCAAGGCAACGAUGCAUAGCCGACCUGAGAGGGUGAUCGGCCACACUGGAACUGAGACACGGUCCAGACUCCUACGGGAGGCAGCAGUAGGGAAUCUUCCGCAAUGGGCGAAAGCCUGACGGAGCAACGCCGCGUGAGUGAUGAAGGUCUUCGGAUCGUAAAACUCUGUUAUUAGGGAAGAACAUAUGUGUAAGUAACUGUGCACAUCUUGACGGUACCUAAUCAGAAAGCCACGGCUAACUACGUG
This 497-nucleotide ribosomal RNA is filed under the name uncultured bacterium. RNAcentral's name for it is "partial 16S ribosomal RNA". It matches the Rfam family "Bacterial small subunit ribosomal RNA", at positions 28 to 507 of the family's 1533-position model. The record is from RNAcentral.